AGCAAAAGUCAUGGGACCUGUGUCAUCUCCAGGCAAAAGCUUUAAGAACCAGCACAUGGUUUGCUGUGUGCCUUUUGCCACUUCUGCAAGGUGGACAAUGGUCCAGAAAGAGGCUGCUUCGGCAGUCGGGAUUCCAAAGGAGAUGAACAAGCUGGGACAUAGUCAACCUGUGAGGGACACGAAGCUGGAGCAAGAAAGAAGUUUUUGUGGCACUGUCCCACCUUGGAGAAAGUACUUGCAAGACACAGCCUGGAACCUGCAGGGAAGUUCCCUCCCCAGAAGGAAGAGACAGUCUUCUCGAGGGGUUACAGCCCCAGGCACCAGAGGUGGAAGCUGUACUUGCUCAGAGCUGCCAGCCUCCCAAGCUGGGUCUUCUCACCGCCUCUGCCAUUGCAGGCAGCCAGACAUGGAUCAGGUGCUCUUCAGAGAGAAACGUGUUGGCAAUUUGGUCCUCAGUAUCAGUGAGCUUAAGUUAAGGUUCUAUCCAGACCUAGAGUGUUAGCAUUUCAAGGAUUAUCUCUCAAACUCUGGUUGAAAGCAUUUCAGGACAAUGGAAAAUUCUAGUUAACUCAGGCCAACCAAAUGUGGCUGUAUUCAAAAAUCCAGAGCCAGGCCUGGGUGGGGCGGAUGACAAUGAGAACACACCCAGAAUUGUAUGAAAUUAUCACAUUUAUAUUUUUAGUGGCUAUGUCACAGUUUUGGCUCAUUUAAUCUUGUGUUCCAUUAUGACCCUCAGAUCUUCCUCAUGGGACCUUUAGAUUCUAAUGAAAUUCUCUAUUUAAUGGCUCAGAGGCCACGUGCCUGGUGUUGCAGAGCGUGGGUGUGGAGUCAACAGACAUCCAUUCCAAUCCGAGUUUCACCCUGGAAAGCAGUGUGAGGUGGAACAAGUUAUUCCGAGGCUCACUUUCUUCAUCUAGAAAAUGGUGAUGAUGAUGACGUUGUUAGGGUUCGACAGGAUGAUGUAUGUGAAGUGUUUGGCCCAGGGCCUGGGACAUGGUGCAUUCCUGCUGCUUCUGCUGCUGUUGUUAAUUAUUAUUACUGCAGGUCAUCUGACCCUCCAGGCCCCCCUUGCAGCUCUUAGAAAAUGAUCUCGGACUCUCUGAGCCUGUUUUUAUUGGAAUCUUGGGGGAAAAAUCGUGUUGUGAAGCCAGGUAUUCAUGCUUGCUUGUCCUCAGAGUCUUUGGUUAUUAACACACAUUGUUUGUUUACACAUGUUGCCUCGCACUAUCCUCACAGGGGCCCUGUGAGGUCAGUAUUCCCAUUCCCAUUUCACGGAUGAUGAAGAGGCCCAGGGAGAUUGAGACGCUUGCUCAAGGUCACACAGCUGGGGAGUAGCAGAACUGGAGUAUUUUUUUUUAACAAG
This 1363-nucleotide long non-coding RNA is filed under the name Equus caballus (horse). Its description in RNAcentral is "lncRNA (ENSECAG00000056799.1)". The record is from RNAcentral. Lineage: Eukaryota; Metazoa; Chordata; Mammalia; Perissodactyla; Equidae.